Molecule: ribosomal RNA, 429 nt
Filed under: Helicops carinicaudus
Lineage: Eukaryota; Metazoa; Chordata; Lepidosauria; Squamata; Dipsadidae
Description: partial large subunit ribosomal RNA
Rfam family: Bacterial large subunit ribosomal RNA
Source: RNAcentral
UUAAACGGCCGCGGUACCCUAACCGUGCAAAGGUAGCAUAAUCAUUUGUCUAUUAAUUGUAGACCAGUAUGAAAGGCAAAAUGAGGACCUGACUGUCUCUUAUAGUAUAUCAAUUAAACUGAUCUCCUAGUAAAAAAGCUAAGAUACUCCCAUAAGACCAGAAGACCCUGUGAAGCUUAAACUAAAUUAUUAAACCCCAUAAUAACUACUUUCGGUUGGGGCGACCUUGGAAAAAAAAAGAACUUCCAAACAAACGACCAUAAAUCACACUCUCUGAGGCCUACAAGCCUAAACCAUAGACCCAGUCUAACUGACAAACGAACCAAGUUACUCCAGGGAUAACAGCGCCAUCUUCUUCAAGAGCCCAUAUCAAAAAGAAGGUUUACGACCUCGAUGUUGGAUCAGGACAUCCUAAUGGUGCAGCCGCUA